This 442-nucleotide long non-coding RNA is filed under the name Columba livia (rock pigeon). Its description in RNAcentral is "partial uncharacterized LOC102089629, transcript variant X2". The record is from RNAcentral. Lineage: Eukaryota; Metazoa; Chordata; Aves; Columbiformes; Columbidae.
UGACGCUGCUAUUGAAAAAGGCCAGCCAGUGAGCAAAGGGAUAGAUAUAAAUGUGGAUGAUCUGCAACUGGACGUCUGAAAGCAUGACGGCAGAAGGACACAUGGUUGCGAUGGCCAGAAUCCAGAUGACGGCUAUGAUGAUGACUGCAGUUGAAAUGGUCAUCUUCUGCUUGAACGGAUGAACAAUGCAGCGAAACCUGCAGCAAAGAUACCCGGCGACAUACGUAGAGAAGCUGUUUAAGGAACGCUUACUCAAACAGGCAAGCCGUCCACCGAGUCUUCCUGAACAAAUAACCCUGUACUGGGAGAAUCCCUGCUUCAAGACGGGCAGUGUGGAGGUCAGCAAGGACAGCCCCAGGCAGAAGAACAAUAAAGCAAACUACUCCAUUGCCAACCAUGCAGAGCAGGAAGAUGAGGAGAUAGGAGACGAUGAAGACAGCUG